RNAcentral lists this long non-coding RNA (399 nucleotides) under Hordeum vulgare. Its description in RNAcentral is "long non-coding RNA (HVUL_LNC012415)". Lineage: Eukaryota; Viridiplantae; Streptophyta; Magnoliopsida; Poales; Poaceae. The record is from RNAcentral.
AGUGUCGUCGUAGCAUGAAGACUCUUCAAAACUUGUCGAGUCGUCGAAGGAGAUAACGAAGAGAUGGCACAUCAGAGGUAGACACCGCAUCANNNNNNNNNNAAAAAAAGAAUUGAUAAUCCAAAUCCGCGUCUUGAGAGUGUCAUCGUAGCAUGAAGAGUCUUCAAAACUUGUCGAGUCGCCGAAGGAGAUAACGAAGAGAUGGCACAUCAGAGGUAGACACCGCAUCACUUGAAGAUACAAGAUAAGUAUCAAGUGAAGAUGGGUUGUCAAAAGAAGAUGGCACAUCAAGAGAAUAAAGCAUUGUGCAGAAAAUCAUAGUCCAUGACAACCGUCGGCGAAAGAAGCUCGGCGGAUAAGGCACGAUGGACGUAGAUCGACAAUGCAAAAGAAAUCCAG